RNAcentral lists this ribosomal RNA (421 nucleotides) under uncultured bacterium. RNAcentral's name for it is "bacterial SSU rRNA". It matches the Rfam family "Bacterial small subunit ribosomal RNA", at positions 367 to 803 of the family's 1533-position model. The record is from RNAcentral.
CGCAAUGGGCGAAAGCCUGACGGAGCAACGCCGCGUGAGGGACGAAGGCCUCUGGGCUGUAAACCUCUUUUCUCAAGGAAGAAGAUAUGACGGUACUUGAGGAAUAAGCCACGGCUAAUUCCGUGCCAGCAGCCGCGGUAAUACGGGAGUGGCAAGCGUCAUCCGGAAUUAUUGGGCGUAAAGCGUCCGCAGGCGGCCCUUCAAGUCUGCUGUUAAAGCGUGGAGCUUAACUCCAUUAUGGCAGUGGAAACUGAUCGGCUUGAGUAUGGUAGGGGCAGAGGGAAUUCCCGGUGUAGCGGUGAAAUGCGUAGAUAUCGGGAAGAACACCAGUGGCGAAGGCGCUCUGCUGGGCCAUUACUGACGCUCAUGGACGAAAGCCAGGGGAGCGAAAGGGAUUAGAUACCCCUGUAGUCCUGGCCGU